RNAcentral lists this transfer RNA (71 nucleotides) under Oreonectes platycephalus. RNAcentral describes it as "tRNA-Gly". It matches the Rfam family "tRNA". Rfam says of the family: Transfer RNA (tRNA) molecules are approximately 80 nucleotides in length. Their secondary structure includes four short double-helical elements and three loops (D, anti-codon, and T loops). Lineage: Eukaryota; Metazoa; Chordata; Actinopteri; Cypriniformes; Nemacheilidae. RNAcentral also lists the same sequence under 5 other names. The record is from RNAcentral.
AUCUUUCUCGUAUGAAAUUAGUACAAGUGACUUCCAAUCACUUAGUCUUGGUUAAAGCCCAAGGAAAGAUA